This 208-nucleotide ribosomal RNA is filed under the name uncultured Acidobacteriota bacterium. Its description in RNAcentral is "uncultured Acidobacteria bacterium partial 16S ribosomal RNA". It matches the Rfam family "Bacterial small subunit ribosomal RNA", at positions 568 to 774 of the family's 1533-position model. The record is from RNAcentral. Lineage: Bacteria; Pseudomonadati; Acidobacteriota.
CGCGUAGGCGGCUUAGCAAGUCAGAUGUGAAAGCCCCGGGCUUAACUCGGGAACUGCAUCUGAAAACUGCUUUGCUUGAGUCCUGGAUGGGAUAGUGGAAUUCCCAGUGUAGCGGUGAAAUGCGUAGAUAUUGGGAGGAACACCUGCGGCGAAGGCGGCUAUCUGGACAGUGACUGACGCUGAGGCGCGAAAGCUAGGGGAGCGAACG